Candidatus Pacearchaeota archaeon RBG_13_33_26 is the source of this 72-nucleotide non-coding RNA. NCBI's taxonomy places the organism in Archaea, Nanobdellati. The record is from Rfam.
GCCUGUGUAGCUCAGUGGCAGAGCACCUGCCCUGUAAGCAGGGGGUCGGGGGUUCAAAUCCCUCCACAGGCU